This 204-nucleotide non-coding RNA is filed under the name Paraburkholderia tropica. RNAcentral describes it as "ZTP sequence". It matches the Rfam family "ZMP/ZTP riboswitch aptamer (pfl RNA motif)". From Rfam's summary of the family: Previously known as pfl RNA. ZMP is also known as AICAR. The record is from Rfam by way of RNAcentral. Lineage: Bacteria; Pseudomonadati; Pseudomonadota; Betaproteobacteria; Burkholderiales; Burkholderiaceae.
CAAUCCCUGCGUGACUGGCGAUAGGGUUCCUGAAUGACGGCGCGUGCAUGUUUUGCUGCACGCGAUGCCGAAAAAGGCGCUGUAAAGGCCGCUGUAACAAGCGCGCGUCAUGCUGCGUCUGGCGCGGCUCGAUCAGGAACUCAAGGUGGAACGACCCACCGUGAAGCGCAGGGUGCCGUUUUGCCGUUCGCCUGGGCAGCCGAG